UGGGGAAUUUUGGACAAUGGGCGAAAGCCUGAUCCAGCAAUGCCGCGUGUGUGAAGAAGGCCUUCGGGUUGUAAAGCACUUUUGUCCGGAAAGAAAUCCUUGGCUCUAAUACAGUCGGGGGAUGACGGUACCGGAAGAAUAAGCACCGGCUAACUACGUGCCAGCAGCCGCGGUAAUACGUAGGGUGCAAGCGUUAAUCGGAAUUACUGGGCGUAAAGCGUGCGCAGGCGGUUUGCUAAGACCGAUGUGAAAUCCCCGGGCUCAACCUGGGAACUGCAUUGGUGACUGGCAGGCUAGAGUAUGGCAGAGGGGGGUAGAAUUCCACGUGUAGCAGUGAAAUGCGUAGAGAUGUGGAGGAAUACCGAUGGCGAAGGCAGCCCCCUGGGCCAAUACUGACGCUCAUGCACGAAAGCGUGGGGAGCAAAACAGGAUUAGAUACCCUGGUAGUCCACGCCCUAAAACGAUGUCAACUAGUUGUUGGGGAUUCAUUUCCUUAGUAACGUAGCUAACGCGUGAAGUUGACCGCCUGGGGAGUACGGUCGCAAGAUUAAAACUUCAAAUGGAAUUGACGGGGUCAUAGCUGUUUCCU
RNAcentral lists this ribosomal RNA (589 nucleotides) under uncultured bacterium. RNAcentral describes it as "partial 16S ribosomal RNA". It matches the Rfam family "Bacterial small subunit ribosomal RNA", at positions 355 to 1375 of the family's 1533-position model. The record is from RNAcentral.